This 576-nucleotide ribosomal RNA is filed under the name Triticum aestivum (bread wheat). Its description in RNAcentral is "partial small subunit ribosomal RNA". The record is from RNAcentral. Lineage: Eukaryota; Viridiplantae; Streptophyta; Magnoliopsida; Poales; Poaceae.
AUGAGCUACCAACUCUCCGGCUGCCCACUGAGCCGCCGCAUUCGCUUCUUCUUCGUCCCAUCCCACGAACGCGAGUGCAGCGUCGAGCCAGCAAGUGCAGAGGAGAUCACGUCGCUCUUCUGCGGGGACCCGGUGAAGCCGGCGCUGCUGCUGCUGGGCAUCUGCGGCACCACCAUGUUCAUCAGCAUGUGGAUCCACAACACGCCGUGCACCGUCAUGAUGAUGCCGGUGGCCACGGAGAUCCUGCAGAGGUUCCCCGGCGAGGAGGCCGCCAGCGCCGACGCAAGCGAGUUCAGGCGGUUCUCCAAGGCGGUGGUGCUCGGCGUCGUCUACGCGUUGGCGAUCGGCGGGAUGGCCACGCUCACCGGCACGGCGCCAACAUCAUCUUGCUCCUGGAUGUCCUUCGGGCUCCCCAUGUCGCUCGUCCUCUUCGCGGCGCUCUGGGCCACGCUCUGCCUCAUGUACUGCUCCAACAACACCGGGACGGCGCUCUCCGCUUACCUUGACCGCACCAAUCUCAGGAGGGAGCUCAGCUUGCUUGGUACCCUAUCUUUCUUGCUCUCUCUCUGCACUUGA